RNAcentral lists this ribosomal RNA (426 nucleotides) under uncultured bacterium. RNAcentral describes it as "partial 16S ribosomal RNA". It matches the Rfam family "Bacterial small subunit ribosomal RNA", at positions 354 to 796 of the family's 1533-position model. The record is from RNAcentral.
GUGAGGAAUUUUCCGCAAUGGGCGAUAGCCUGACGGAGCAAUGCCGCGUGAAGGAUGAAGGCCUAUGGGUUGUAAACUUCUUUUCUCAGAAAAGAAUUAUGACGGUAUCUGAGGAAUAAGCAUCGGCUAACUCUGUGCCAGCAGCCGCGGUAAGACAGAGGAUGCAAGCGUUAUCCGGAAUGAUUGGGCGUAAAGCGUCUGUAGGUUGUUUAAAAAGUAUUCUGUCAAAGAUUAGGGCUUAACCCUAGAUAGGCAGAAUAAACUUUUAAGCUAGAGUUUGGUAGAGGCAGAGGGAAUUCCCGGUGGAGCGGUGAAAUGCGUAGAUAUCGGGAGGAACACCAAAGGCGAAGGCACUCUGCUGGGCCAAUACUAACACUGAGAGACGAAAGCGAGGGGAGCAAAUGGGAUUAGAUACCCGGGUAGUCC